UCUUGUAAUUUGUGAGGCAGGCUCCUGAGGAAUGCAGUGCUGCUUUCUGUCUUGUUAUCACAUUUCCUUGGAGGAGAGCCCAGCCUUGGUGGAGAGCCCUGCUCUGGCUUUGUCCCUCGGCAUGAGAUGGCAGAGGAUGGUGCUGCUGGGAGACCCUCACGUCUGCACACUGGGGGCUGCUUGCCUUCUCCAUUCCUCCUUCAAGUAUCUGAGCAGCUCCUGUGUGCCAGCUGCUGGUCUACAAGAUGGAUGGGUCCUUGGAGAUCACGCUG
Molecule: long non-coding RNA, 272 nt
Organism: Homo sapiens (human)
Lineage: Eukaryota; Metazoa; Chordata; Mammalia; Primates; Hominidae
Product: long intergenic non-protein coding RNA 937
Source: Ensembl